AUCCAGCUGACGAGUCCCAAAUAGGACGAAGGAGUGGGCGUCCUGGAU
Molecule: non-coding RNA, 48 nt
Filed under: Schistosoma mansoni
Lineage: Eukaryota; Metazoa; Platyhelminthes; Trematoda; Strigeidida; Schistosomatidae
Source: RNAcentral